RNAcentral lists this ribosomal RNA (418 nucleotides) under uncultured bacterium. RNAcentral's name for it is "bacterial SSU rRNA". It matches the Rfam family "Bacterial small subunit ribosomal RNA", at positions 73 to 485 of the family's 1533-position model. The record is from RNAcentral.
AGGUAGCUUGCUACCAGGCGUCGAGCGGCGGACGGGUGAGUAAUGCUUAGGAAUCUACCGAGUAGUGGGGGAUAGCCAUUGGAAACGAUGAUUAAUACCGCAUAUAUCCUACGGGGGAAAGCAGGGGACCUUCGGGCCUUGCGCUAUUCGAUGAGCCUGAGUGAGAUUAGCUAGUUGGUGGGGUAAAGGCCUACCAAGGCGACGAUCUCUAGCUGGUCUGAGAGGAUGAUCAGCCACACUGGAACUGAGACACGGUCCAGACUCCUACGGGAGGCAGCAGUGGGGAAUAUUGCACAAUGGACGAAAGUCUGAUGCAGCCAUGCCGCGUGUGUGAAGAAGGCCUUCGGGUUGUAAAGCACUUUCAGCGAGGAGGAAAGGUUAGUAAGUAAUAUUUGCUAGCUGUGACGUUACUCGCAGA